RNAcentral lists this long non-coding RNA (365 nucleotides) under Rattus norvegicus (Norway rat). RNAcentral describes it as "long non-coding RNA NONRATT000432". The record is from RNAcentral. Lineage: Eukaryota; Metazoa; Chordata; Mammalia; Rodentia; Muridae.
AACAGGCAGUCCCCAUGGUCGGGCGCCGUCCCCGCGGCCGGGGACUGGCCCAGUGCGGCAGCCGGGUCCCCCGACCCCUUUUGACUACCUAGGCCGCGCAGGGUCCCCCCGGGGCAGCCCACUAGCAGAGGGGCCCCAGGCCUUCUUCCCGGAGCGAGGACCUUCCCCACGCCCGCCCGCUGCAGCCUAUGACACAUCGGCCACGUUCGGGAGCCCUCUGCUGGGCGCGGGUGGCAGUGCCUUCGCCCCGCCACUUCGCGCACAAGAUGACUCGACGCUGCGCCGGAGGCCCCCGAAAGCCUGGAACGAGUCUGACCUGGAUGUAGCCUACGAGAAAAAGUCUUCACAGACAGCAAGCUAUGAAC